This 460-nucleotide ribosomal RNA is filed under the name uncultured bacterium. RNAcentral describes it as "partial 16S ribosomal RNA". It matches the Rfam family "Bacterial small subunit ribosomal RNA", at positions 338 to 795 of the family's 1533-position model. The record is from RNAcentral.
CCUACGGGUGGCAGCAGUGAGGAAUAUUGGUCAAUGGGCGUAAGCCUGAACCAGCCAAGUCGCGUGAGGGAUGAAUGUUCUAUGGAUCGUAAACCUCUUUUAUAAGGGAAUAAAGUGCGGGACGUGUCCCGUUUUGUAUGUACCUUAUGAAUAAGGAUCGGCUAACUCCGUGCCAGCAGCCGCGGUAAUACGGAGGAUCCGAGCGUUAUCCGGAUUUAUUGGGUUUAAAGGGUGCGUAGGCGGCCUGUUAAGUCAGUGGUGAAAGUCUGUGGCUCAACCAUAAAAUUGCAGUUGAUACUGGGAGGCUUGAGUAUGUUUGAGGCAGGCGGAAUGCGUGGUGUAGCGGUGAAAUGCUUAGAUAUCACGCAGAACCCCGAUUGCGAAGGCAGCCUGCUAAGCCAUGACUGACACUGAUGCUCGAAAGCGUGGGUAUCAAACAGGAUUAGAUACCCUAGUAGUC